This is a long non-coding RNA of Trichomycterus rosablanca, 590 nucleotides long. RefSeq lists it as uncharacterized. The record is from RefSeq and is a predicted model, not a curated record. The transcript is spliced from 12 exons. NCBI's taxonomy places the organism in Eukaryota, Metazoa, Chordata, Actinopteri, Siluriformes, Trichomycteridae.
GUAUAAAUGUCGGUGUGCCCUUUCUUGCGGCCUCAUUCAGCUUCAGCGGAAAGCCGGUGGUUGCUCAGAAGGCACAAGAGAACCAGUUUUGCGUGAUUUGCUAUUGAUUCUACAAGGGCGUGACCAUGACCGUUCUGAGAGUCCCGUUGGAUGGUAGCUGUAGACUGGACACAGAAUGUUUGAUUUAUCAAAUAACCAGGAUAAUUAUGGCAAAUGGCUAAUAUGACUGGAUGAAUAUAAUGGAAUGGAUGGACUGCCACAUCACCAUCAGAGGCUCUGUGUGUAAACUGCAGUUUCUCAGGGGCUGUUUAUCACAUGGCUUGGAAUCGACUGGUCCUAAGAUCAGCUGUUGAACUAAAGUCUGUUGGAGCAGCUUAUCAAGGUGUGGACUACUAUACUGACUACUGAAGACUGGGGAUAUUCAGGGAAUUGUCUCAACCUAAACUUCAGCCAAUAGUCACUUGGCCAGACUUGUCCAGUUGGUGGAAAUUGGAGGUUUAUUUAUUAACCCUGGAAGCCAUUUCAGAUCUGUACAAACUGACUUCAGGAUGUUUCAUGAUUUACAAUAAACUUUACCAUGUGUACUCGCA